CUUGCCCUGCGCUAUGGUGGUCGCGUCGUGGUGAACGGGAAGACCGGUGCAAGACCGGCGCGGCCCUCGCCACUGUGAUCGAGGAGUCGUCGAGCUUUGCUUGGGGAAACCACCCCGCGGCCACCGGGCACCAGCCUGGGAAGGUCAGCUCGGCGGCGGUGACUCGUCAGCCAGGAGACCGGCCACGACGCGUCAUGUCCA
RNAcentral lists this non-coding RNA (201 nucleotides) under Thermobifida fusca. The record is from RNAcentral. Lineage: Bacteria; Bacillati; Actinomycetota; Actinomycetes; Streptosporangiales; Nocardiopsidaceae.